Molecule: ribosomal RNA, 235 nt
Filed under: uncultured Spirotrichea
Lineage: Eukaryota; Ciliophora; Spirotrichea
Description: partial small subunit ribosomal RNA
Rfam family: Eukaryotic small subunit ribosomal RNA
Source: RNAcentral
CAACUUAAUCGGAUCGAAUGGGGUCGUCCCCCGACAAACCAUUCAAGUUUCUGCCCCAUCAUGCUUUCUAUGGUAGUGUAUUGGACUACCAUGGCUUUCACGGGUAACGGAGGAUUAGGGUUCGAUUCCGGAGAGGGAGCCUGAGAAACGGCUACCACUUCCACGGAAGGCAGCAGGCGCGUAAAUUACCCAAUCCUAAUUCAGGGAGGUAGUGACAAAAAAUAACGGGCCGGGA